GUCCUGCCCCCCCUCCCGCAG
RNAcentral lists this microRNA (21 nucleotides) under Canis lupus familiaris (dog). RNAcentral describes it as "Cfa-Novel-9_3p (mature (co-guide))". Lineage: Eukaryota; Metazoa; Chordata; Mammalia; Carnivora; Canidae. The record is from RNAcentral.